GAAUAUUCACAGAUAAAUGUUGUUUGUUACUGGAUGUUCAGUUCAAUUAUGGCACUAAAACAGGGCAUCAAGAUUUAAAGUGAACUGGGCUUAACAGGUCACUAUUUUCUUCCAUUUCUCACCUCAGCAUGAGCACACACAUCAGAGAACUGGGGCAUAAUUGAGUAUGUUUUUUUAUUUAGGGUUUGUAUUUGGAAAUUUUGAACCAUUCUUUCUCAAAAGCCAGGGCUCUGCACUUUAUAUUAUAAAUAUAAUAUAAACCUACUCCUGUUGCUGAUCUGUCCAAUAUGUGAUGUUUACAUACUUCAUUUUAUUUCUCAGAGCCAGAUUUCACUUCAGAUGAUGUUUAUCUCCUUUAGUUGAACUAAAGCAAUAUGUUGAGGCACAGUAAAACGUGGCCCUGUGCUAACAAUCAUUUCCAGAGGUCAACACCUUGUUUCAGUGGAAAGCUCUACACUUCCAACAAGGGGUAAUCAGCCUCAGAGUUCCUUGCGAGAGCCGGACUCUGUGAAGGAAAUCACUUCUUGAGACAAAUAGAUGGGCACUUGUGUUCGCUGGACACCACCGGGAGGAAGUGGUCUAAAUAUCUGGGUUCUUCUCUGGGGGAGAUUAUUCCUACAGGCUGACUGUUCAGACAGUUCCUGCAGCCUGGCAACAUCCUCAGCAGAGUACUUCUACAGCAGUGUGCACUUGCUAAGGAUGUUGUAGAAACUGAAAGUUUAUGGGACGUCAAGGACAAGCUCAUGGAAACAAGUCCACUGAGGUUGCUGAAUAUGUUUGAAACUAUGUCUGGCCCAGGAUGCCUCUGAACUGCAAAUGAUUGGAGGCUGGGAGAGCACUGGGAUGAAGUACUUGCUUCAGUGUUUGCCCUGUUCUUACACUCUUAUGUUAUCAAAAAAUUUGGGUAAGCAAUUGCAAAUUUCAACUUUAAAAAUAUGAUUUUCCUUUUUCUAAUCAAAGCUCAGUUGAAUUUUCUGGCUUCUGGGCUCUCAUAUAUUAUAUUAUAUAGUUCUAUAUUUAUGAGAUCUCAGCAGGCCUACAAUUCGUUUAGUUAUUCCAGGCUAAACUUCUGAUUUUUGUUAGCUAAGCUGCUAGGAAACCUCAUGGUGUAAAUCUCUCUGUUGGUAUUCCUGCAAAACUUAAAAAAACUUCUAACAUAGUCAACACAGGAAAUUCUCCCCCACACUCCAA
Molecule: long non-coding RNA, 1191 nt
Filed under: Struthio camelus australis
Lineage: Eukaryota; Metazoa; Chordata; Aves; Struthioniformes; Struthionidae
Description: lncRNA (ENSSCUG00000008065.1)
Source: RNAcentral